Molecule: long non-coding RNA, 1972 nt
Filed under: Xyrichtys novacula (pearly razorfish)
Lineage: Eukaryota; Metazoa; Chordata; Actinopteri; Labriformes; Labridae
Source: RNAcentral
CAAAUAAAGGUCCUGUUCAUUUUACAUUAAUAUGCUGAAGCUCGCCUCUGUAGUAUUACCCGAGGGAGGAGGCUGUGAAGGAGCGUUUUAAUGAAGAUAAUUGAUGAAAGACACCAGAUGCAUUCAUCCUUCAAGUGUUUCAAAGCUGCAGAGCACUAGAGGUAAGCACUGCAGAGGUCCUCACAAGGAAACAUUUCACACUUGGACACAGAGAUACAUGUGUCUUAUUAUUUAGUGAAACUAUUUCACUUUUUUAAAUAACCUUGAAAUCAUUUGUUAAGAUGCAUUUAAAAUGUCACUAAAGCAAGUCCCAAAAAUAGCACCAAAACACAGCAUCAGCAUUUUUAGUAUGUAGAGUAUUUGAUUUCAGCACAAUGUUUAUAUAAAUUGUGUUACAAUAAAUAUAUGAAACUUGAUUUCAUGAAAGACUGUCCCACUUUUAUAUUGCAGCUGUACUGCCAGGUUAAUGAGUUUUUCUCUUGCAAAUUUGAUCGUAGCCUUUUGUAAUUUAACUCUUUGAACAUAUCUUGAAUUAUGAAUCUUAAUCUUUAAUGUAAAAAAAAUCAUCUAAAUUAACAAACAAAUGGAGCAAAGUGAAAUUAUUGCACUCAGAAUUAAACAGUGAAAGUGCGAUAAAAAGGAAAUAUUCAAAGUCAAAAGGGAGGGCCCUGUAACUGUCAGGAAAGCAUGGAUUUAUUGUUUCUACUUGCUAUUCACUUCUGAUAAUAUUGACUGAUUAUUUCAUGUCAAGGUUUAACUGGAUAACAAAUUUUCAUUGGCUACUGUAAUGGGCAUACACUCAAGUACUUGUGACAAGUGACGUCAUGUCAAUUUUGCAAUUGUUUCUGAAGUUACAGGGGUCUACAGUAUUCUUCUACCAAAUGCACCAUAUUUUUUUAUUUUUCUAUUUCAUAUUUCAUGUUGUUUACAGUUUGAUUUGUUGUAUUUUGUUCUGUUAUAUAAUACCCAUAACCAAUAAUCUGCUGCACAAAUGUUAUGAUGUCUCUGUAAUAAGAACCUUUCAUACAAGCAGAAUUUAGACUACCAGAGGCAGCUCUCCUGGCCUAUCUACAAAUAAAAUCAAUUACUGGCAGAUUUACCCUCACACAUAAAACAGAACUAGAUAACAACUUAAUGUCAGCCAUUAUAAAAACAGGCACAACUUUGAGUAUUAAUAAGAUCUUGUUACUUGCCUCACCUAAUCCAUUUAUACCCACUCGACAGGCAUGGGAGAGGGAUCUUGGUGUGUCACUGACUCCAGAACAGUGGAAUGCUAUAUGGUAUUGUGUCAUCCAGGUGAGUUCAGUACAGGAUCAUGCAAUUUAAGAUAUUAUGUAGAGCUUGUAUGACACCCUCUCGUAUAUCCAAAUAAAUAAAGAUCUGUCAGAUCAAUGCUGGCAGAACUGUGGGGGGAAUGGAUCAUUAUUACAUCUUCUAUGGGACUACCAGCAUCAAGACAUUCUGGCUUGGCAUAACAGAUAUGUUUAAGGUUCAUGCACCUGUCUGUCCCAUCACAUGCCUUCUUGGACAUUCACUGGAACAUGUCAAAUCAAACUCCACACACUACUUAAUGAAUUUAGGCUUUCCCUCUGCAAAGAGAAUCAUCCUUAUGAACUGGAGGCAACACAAGCCCUCAUGUUUUACACUAUUGGAAUGGAUUAGAGACUAUCUAGACCUGCUAAGCAUGGAACGCGCCUCCAACCUGCUCUUUGACUAUGACACAAACACUCAAGGACACUGGGACAUUGCACGGACAUUCAUGGAGAAAAGAUCACUUCUAUGCCAAUAUGCAAAGCUGUCUAUAUUGUAUAUUUUCCUGCAACCUAUGCUUUCUUUUGUCAUUAAUAUCAAGUCAAAUGCUAUGGGUGUGCUGUGAAGUGUGUGUGUGCAUCGGUGAGAGGCAUGGUUGGAUAUGUACAUUGCAGUGCUAUGCAGCAGACUUGUCAUUUUGCCUUGUUUUCUUAUGAUGUUG